This 496-nucleotide ribosomal RNA is filed under the name uncultured bacterium. Its description in RNAcentral is "partial 16S ribosomal RNA". It matches the Rfam family "Bacterial small subunit ribosomal RNA", at positions 29 to 507 of the family's 1533-position model. The record is from RNAcentral.
AUGCACGCUGGCGGCGUGCCUAAUACAUGCAAGUCGAGCGAACAGACGAGGAGCUUGCUCCUCUGACGUUAGCGGCGGACGGGUGAGUAACACGUGGAUAACCUACCUAUAAGACUGGGAUAACUUCGGGAAACCGGAGCUAAUACCGGAUAAUAUAUUGAACCGCAUGGUUCAAUAGUGAAAGACGGUUUUGCUGUCACUUAUAGAUGGAUCCGCGCCGCAUUAGCUAGUUGGUAAGGUAACGGCUUACCAAGGCAACGAUGCGUAGCCGACCUGAGAGGGUGAUCGGCCACACUUGAACUGAGACACGGUCCAGACUCCUAAGGGAGGCAGCAGUAGGGAAUCUUCCGCAAUGGGCGGAAGCUUGACGGAGCAACGCCGCGUGAGUGAUGAAGGUCUUCGGAUCGUAAAACUCUGUUAUUAGGGAAGAACAAAUGUGUAAGUAACUAUGCACGUCUUGACGGUACCUAAUCAGAAAGCCACGGCUAACUACGUG